AGAAUCAACGCUGGCGGCGUGCCUAACACAUGCAAGUCGAACGCGAAAGCCCCGAAAGGGGUAAGUAGAGUGGCAAACGGGUGAGUAACACGUGGGUGACCUGCCUUCGAGUGGGGGAUAACGUCCCGAAAGGGACGCUAAUACCGCAUAACAUCCUGCCUUUGAAGAGGUGGAGAUCAAAGCCGGGGACCGCAAGGCCUGGCGUUCGAAGAGGGGCCCGCGCCUGAUUAGCUAGUUGGUGGGGUAAUGGCUCACCAAGGCAACGAUC
This 268-nucleotide ribosomal RNA is filed under the name uncultured soil bacterium. RNAcentral's name for it is "partial 16S ribosomal RNA". It matches the Rfam family "Bacterial small subunit ribosomal RNA", at positions 26 to 281 of the family's 1533-position model. The record is from RNAcentral.